This 1068-nucleotide ribosomal RNA is filed under the name Serratia rubidaea. Its description in RNAcentral is "partial 23S ribosomal RNA". It matches the Rfam family "Bacterial large subunit ribosomal RNA", at positions 102 to 1214 of the family's 2925-position model. Lineage: Bacteria; Pseudomonadati; Pseudomonadota; Gammaproteobacteria; Enterobacterales; Yersiniaceae. The record is from RNAcentral.
AACCGACGAUACCCGAAUGGGGAAACCCAGUGUGUUUCGACACACUAUCCUGUCAUGAAUACAUAGUGGCAGGAGGCGAACCGGGGGAACUGAAACAUCUAAGUACCCCGAGGAAAAGAAAUCAACCGAGAUUCCCCUAGUAGCGGCGAGCGAACGGGGAACAGCCCAGAACCUGAAUCGGCUUGUGUGUCAGUGGAAGCGUCUGGAAAGUCGCACAGUAAAGGGUGAUAGUCCCGUACACGAAGAUGCACAGGUCGUGAGUUCGAUGAGUAGGGCGGGACACGUGUUAUCCUGUCUGAAUAUGGGGGGACCAUCCUCCAAGGCUAAAUACUCCUGACUGACCGAUAGUGAACCAGUACCGUGAGGGAAAGGCGAAAAGAACCCCGGCGAGGGGAGUGAAAUAGAACCUGAAACCGUGUACGUACAAGCAGUGGGAGCACCUUCGGGUGUGACUGCGUACCUUUUGUAUAAUGGGUCAGCGACUUAUAUUUUGUAGCAAGGUUAACCGAAUAGGGGAGCCGUAGGGAAACCGAGUCUUAACUGGGCGUCUAGUUGCAAGGUAUAGACCCGAAACCCGGUGAUCUAGCCAUGGGCAGGUUGAAGGUUGGGUAACACUAACUGGAGGACCGAACCGACUAAUGUUGAAAAAUUAGCGGAUGACUUGUGGCUGGGGGUGAAAGGCCAAUCAAACCGGGAGAUAGCUGGUUCUCCCCGAAAGCUAUUUAGGUAGCGCCUCGUGAACUCAUCUUCGGGGGUAGAGCACUGUUUCGGCUAGGGGGCCAUCCCGGCUUACCAAACCGAUGCAAACUCCGAAUACCGAAGAAUGUUAUCACGGGAGACACACGGCGGGUGCUAACGUCCGUCGUGAAGAGGGAAACAACCCAGACCGCCAGCUAAGGUCCCAAAGUCAUGGUUAAGUGGGAAACGAUGUGGGAAGGCACAGACAGCCAGGAUGUUGGCUUAGAAGCAGCCAUCAUUUAAAGAAAGCGUAAUAGCUCACUGGUCGAGUCGGCCUGCGCGGAAGAUGUAACGGGGCUAAACCAUGCACCGAAGCUGCGGCAGCGACGC